UUUCAAAGGUUUUUUUUUAUUAAGGUUUUAAUUUAAUGAAAAUUAUUACUGAUUUAAUUCCCGGUUUUGUCCCUAUUAAUACAGCAAUUCAACUUUACUAAUUUCGAGUUAGAUCAACUGCAUAUCGAUUAAGUAUGGGAAAAUCUAUGUAAGUGAUACCGAGUUAGACACCUAGUCUAAUCCAGUUCAUUUUUUGAAGACCGCGAAAAUUCAUUUGACUAUUUGUGGCAAAAAAAAAAAAUCUCUUCAAAGAUCAUAAGGGGUUCUAUGAAAUCACUUCAGAGAAACUUUGUUAUACAGAUGUCUAUCACCAAGAAGAUACUGGUCAAAGUUCAAUAAUAAAUGAAAACACUUCUGUUCGGUCAUCUCUAUUAUCGAC
This 379-nucleotide unclassified non-coding RNA is filed under the name Melitaea cinxia (Glanville fritillary). RNAcentral's name for it is "misc RNA ENSMCXG00005017773.1". The record is from RNAcentral. Lineage: Eukaryota; Metazoa; Arthropoda; Insecta; Lepidoptera; Nymphalidae.